AGGAACAUGAUGGUGCCACUGCAUGCUGUCGAGAGAAUGGAAAAGCUUGCUCUUGUUGGCAAUUAUCCAAAUAACAGGACGAGGCGUGUAAGGACAGGUGAUUUAAGUCCUCGGCAGAGUGGUGGAGAGGUUUGUUUUGGCGGGGAGGAAGUGAGGAAAAGUCACAGGGGUCAUAUUGUAAAUAAUGUCCUUGUGCUGCAGCCAUCAAUUCAGCUUCUUAUAAACUAUGCAUGGACACCCUUGUAUGCACUGUUUGGGGAAAUAGCUAAAGACGCUACCCAUAGCCUCUUUAACACUUAAGGGCCGUUCUAUAUUAUGUCUGAUAGUCAUCUAAACAAUACUAAAACAAGAAAAGGUUGUUGUUGUGUCAGCUUUAAGUACAACGGAGAAAAAGCAUCUUGUUUACAGAAAUUCACAGUUAUUAGUUAUUUCUACGCCUCCCCUGAAAGUCUCAAUGUGACACCGCGAUAAGGCGAGCACUUUUCCCCCCCUUGCAUAGCACACGUAAGUCAUUAUUUUUAAAGGCGCAGUAUCUCCAAGUCGCAGAAGGACACGUUGAUAGCAGAAUAAAGUACACACUCGUAAACGUUUAUGCCAGUGUUUCUCACUGUAUGAUUACAUUUUUAUGGUUCAUAUUCUGAUAUGGCUUGUUUUUGCUGCCACUGCCAAAGCAAUGAGACAGGCCCAGAGGUGGCAUUUCUUCUUUGCUUUAUGGGGGAGAGUUGGUGGGGGGAGAGUCCUGCUCGGUUUCGUUCGGUAAACACACUGCCAAGCUAAAUGGCUGAUCAAUCAAUUUCAGAGGGAUCGAUCUGCAUCAGUUCUGCCUGCAUGCACACACCCGGAGCCACUUUAUUGUAAAUCAAUCAUUUUGAAAACAACUCACAGAGGGGCCCGUCCUCACUAACAAGCCAUCAAUUCCAGCUGCCUGUGUAGCACCCUUAUCAGGCCACAAAUCAACAGCCACACAAACAUCUGCUCCAUUUCCAUCGCUUUCCCCCUCUCCCUAGCUCUGUCUUUUCACCCCCGCCGCUUGUCGUGUUUUUGAUGGUGUGUCUGGCGAAGAGGAGAGAGGAGGAGAGGCUGCGAAUCUUCACCACACCACUUAAGAUAACCCAAGGGUAAUAGUGUUUGCACAUUUGAGAGAGAAAUGAGGACAAAUGCCAGGGUGGGUCAUACAUUCUCCCUCUGUCCGGCUGUUUGACGUUGGAGUGUGAAAUUGCACACUUCAGCUGAGGAGCGAGGAGGAGGAAGAGGAGGAGGAGCAGGCAGGGCUGAGAGAUGUAUGAGAUGUCCACUGAUUUCUAGCUAUGAGAGAGAAGAGGGUCGACGACUGAGAAGUCAUCCUGCCUCAUCAUAACACCUAAAGAUUGGUGCUGCUUAUGAUGUUUGAAGGAUUCUCGGGAGAUAUCUGGGUACCCUUGACACAGGCGACACACAGCCCAGUGCUGAGUGUCUAAAACAGAUGAUUUCAGCGGGGAUAUAAUAACAUUGUGCGUAAAGGGUAAAAAAUCAUUUAACUUUGGCUCUGUUUAAUGACAUGCUUAUCAUCAGACGGCUUUUGCUCAGACAUGUUAAAGCUCCAACGGGGGAAAGAGGAUUACCUUCUCGAUGUAUCAUGUCUUUCUGCAAUAGCUGUAUCUUUAAACCCAAUCCACAUUUAGAUGCUGCACACCUCGAUGUGCUGCACAAACAUUUGCAGCGCUGACAUGACAGCCAAGUGAAGAUACCUGGUAUGAUGUCCUUUGCUCAUCUGCUGUCACCGUCUCCGCCGAGAUAUACGAGCCAGUGUGGACAGAAUGUGAUUCGAAUGCUAUUCCCACCCAUCACUGUGGAUCCCCAUUGAUUGACAGCCUGACAGGUGAAAGUGAUGGAGCAGCUAAUAGCAUGUCAGUUAACGUAAAUCAAGACUAAUGCCGGGCUCAAUGGAUAAGCGGAUUGGCGCUGCGACUUGGACCAUGAGGUCAUCGACCCCUCAGCAGGACUGGGAUUGAUAAAAUACAAUAUACGUUUAGCAGAGGUUCUCCUGGUGAUAGUCAAGGUCAGACGCUAGCUCUAAUGCAAGUAUACAGUCCCAGUGUGUUUUAUGUGCUCUGCGAAAAUACACUGAUAUUUGACUCCAUUCCUGAUGGAGGUGUGGAUCAAAGAACUUGGUGAUCUGUAUGAUUUUUAAAUCUUGUUUUGUUUAACUGCACCCAGGUGGCGCUAUGAAAUAUCUCAAAAAAAUUAAAUAAAAUAAAAAUCUGUAAUAUUGCUAUAGAUAUGCACAGCCACAUGAAAUUUAGAACACAGGUCUUGAGGGGAGUCCUCUUGAGGGCUUCAA
This 2320-nucleotide long non-coding RNA is filed under the name Xyrichtys novacula (pearly razorfish). Lineage: Eukaryota; Metazoa; Chordata; Actinopteri; Labriformes; Labridae. The record is from RNAcentral.